Hippocampus zosterae (dwarf seahorse) is the source of this 216-nucleotide long non-coding RNA. RefSeq lists it as uncharacterized. NCBI's taxonomy places the organism in Eukaryota, Metazoa, Chordata, Actinopteri, Syngnathiformes, Syngnathidae. The record is from RefSeq and is a predicted model, not a curated record. The transcript is spliced from 2 exons.
GCCCUUAUAGACAAAUUGAUAAACUGGAGACAAUUAGCGAUCACUUUUUGAAGCCCCGUGUCGAAUUAAAAGACGGGAUGAGCCCCACUGUCUAUCGUUACAUGCUGUGCGCUGUUUCUACCGCUAGAUGUCACAUUCCUCAAAUUUCUCAGUCUUUUUUGCCACCUGUCCCAGCUUUUUUGGAUCAUGUUGCAGCCAUAAGAUUCUAACUUAAUG